Molecule: long non-coding RNA, 946 nt
Organism: Onychomys torridus (southern grasshopper mouse)
Lineage: Eukaryota; Metazoa; Chordata; Mammalia; Rodentia; Cricetidae
Exons: 5
Source: RefSeq, a predicted model, not a curated record
UCUUUGCACAUUCUGGGUAAGAUCUUAUUUGGAUUUUCUCUCUCUUUCUUUCUCUUUUUCUUUCUUUUUUCAGAAGAAUCUGACCACCAAAUCCCAUCCCCAGUGCUCGGGAUGAGUCUUCUCACGUUGCACCCUGCAGAUGUCUCCUCAGCCUGUCCUUGCUGUCUUAUCUUCUACAUUAUGUCUUUGGAUGAGCAGAAGUUCUUACUUUUAACAAAUUACAUUUCUUAUGAUUUUCUUUUUUCUUUCCAGUGCUUUCUGUUUGCUGUUUGUCUAUCUGAGGUCAUGAAGAUGCUGUUCUGUGUACAAGUUUAGGGCUCAUACAAUUUAGACCUGAACUCCACUGGAAGUUAACCUUAAUCCAAAAGAAGCUUGUAAGGAACAUGAGAUGUCUAUCUGUUCUGGACUUCCACUCCUACAAAUCAUAUACAUGUUUAUUUAGACUGGUGUAAAGACCAUCAGUCUCUAGGAGAGUCCAGGAGCCAGAAGACUUGGAUGUGUCAGUCAAGCAUAACAGGAGAAUGUCAGAAGAAAUAGAAGCCAUCUUUUGCUCACAGAUCCAAGCAAGAAAACAGGUACCCACUGGGGCUGAGAGACAAGUCCAAAGACUACAGGAGUCAAACCAUCUGAUCAAGAGUGGGAGAGAUUGAGAGGUGGAGGAGCAGCAUUGGGCCAAACUUGACAAACUCCAGGCUCCUGGACAGAAAUUAUCACACAACUUCUGGUGCUGAUCUAUCUAUCAUGUUCCCAUUCAUACUGAGCAACCCACCACUUGUAGACAAGAAAACAGCCCUUGAAAGGUUUACUGAUUCCCAUGGAGAGCUCAGGGUGUAAACCCCAGGCUUCUUGGAGAAUAUGAAAUUGUCAGAGAGAUGUAGAUGACUCCUUCCUGUAGUUGACAGUGAUUUCCUUCAUAAUGGAGCUUCCUCUGGUAUGUAAAAAGAAU